AUCUGUAUAAUAAGAAAUUUACAUUGCAAUUAGCCAACCGCUUAUUUAUUGCAAAUCUUCAGCAUACUCUUGGAUAAGCGAUAUUCACUUCCUGUAGCUCCUCCUUUUAUUCCUCUUCGAUUGCUUUGAUCGAUUCGUAUUAGAUCCAGAGUUUGUGUUCAAUGAACUUCUAUUGCUGUUUAUGUUCAUUACAUCAACUUCACUUUUUUCAGUGACCUUCCUACUCGCAUUUAGAGAAUUUCUAUCAUAAAGUCCAUCUUCUAAAAAUUCAUUAUCUUCUUCAACAAUCAUUUCUAGACGAUCUUCAUUUUGACACUCAUGAUUAUCUCCAACUUCGCUUCCUUCAGAAAUAUCUGAUCCAUUUAAGCU
Molecule: non-coding RNA, 369 nt
Filed under: Cryptosporidium parvum
Lineage: Eukaryota; Apicomplexa; Conoidasida; Eucoccidiorida; Cryptosporidiidae
Source: RNAcentral